This 321-nucleotide long non-coding RNA is filed under the name Linum usitatissimum (flax). RNAcentral's name for it is "long non-coding RNA (LUSI_LNC006145)". The record is from RNAcentral. Lineage: Eukaryota; Viridiplantae; Streptophyta; Magnoliopsida; Malpighiales; Linaceae.
AAACAUCCAUUUGCAUAUCAGUCACCUAACUUUCCAGAAAGUGCGUAAAGGUUGCCAAGGUUAUAGAAAUUGCUUAAAGUCACUCAACUUUCUGAAAUUUACAAAAGGGUCAUUAAACUUUCAAGCCACUACAAGAUCAUCCUUCAUCUUCUCCGGCAAACCCCUCACCGCAAGUGAUCCCAUCUCCGAUUCAAGCGAGUGUCCGACAUGUCUCCACAAUUCUUGGAAUGCGGAUUAGCUGCAAAUGUGCUUCUCCUAGCUUCGGCGACCCCCUUCCAGCCUUUUAUCACCUACGUUGUGUCGCCGAUCUGGCGCCUAACU